RNAcentral lists this long non-coding RNA (205 nucleotides) under Elaeis guineensis (African oil palm). RNAcentral describes it as "long non-coding RNA (EGUI_LNC067170)". The record is from RNAcentral. Lineage: Eukaryota; Viridiplantae; Streptophyta; Magnoliopsida; Arecales; Arecaceae.
GGCACCCACUUUGAGGCUUGAUUUAGCAGGUGGACACUCCACAAAAACUCUCCAAUGACCUCUUGCCAAGUGGCCUUCAGUUUAAGAUCCAUAAGUCAACGUUUGACCGAUGUCCUAAAACGAAAAUGGCAGGUGACAGAAAUUGACAGGUGUUGCCUUAAUUUCAUCUCAUGAAUUAAGAUAAAAUUUUUUUUGACCUGGACUG